This 227-nucleotide small RNA is filed under the name Neogale vison (American mink). RNAcentral's name for it is "Neovison vison (American mink) 7SK RNA (ENSNVIG00000004573.1)". The stretch from base 1 to 180 matches the Rfam family "7SK RNA". From Rfam's summary of the family: 7SK was discovered as an abundant small nuclear RNA in the mid-70s but a possible function has only recently been suggested. Two independent studies have found that 7SK RNA binds the CDK9/cyclin T complex (known as elongation factor P-TEFb). The record is from RNAcentral. Lineage: Eukaryota; Metazoa; Chordata; Mammalia; Carnivora; Mustelidae.
AAAUUUGAGGGUGACCUGGUUCUGACAAGCCACCCCACUGAUCACCAGUGUUUUUUUAACUGAUCUUACUGGCUUGCUGGGUGUCCCCUUUCUCCUCCACCGUUUAAGGUUUGUCCUUCUGAAACAGAACACUUGGUCAAAAAGAUACUUUAAAAAAAAAAUUAUAGAACUUUCUGUGUUGAUUUCUAUGGUGAUUUCUGUUUAGGUAAACAUCAAAAUUCUGGUUU